AGAGUUUGAUCAUGGCUCAGGACGAACGCUGGCGGUGCGCCUUAUGCAUGCAAGUCGAGCGAAGCUUUUCAGUAGUUUACUACUGAAAAUGACUGAGCGGCGAACGGGUGAGUAACGCGUGAGCAACCUACCUUAGUUACUGGGAUAGCCCGAGGAAACUCGGAUUAAUACCGGAUAUUCUUAUUUAAUCACAUGAUUUUUUAAGGAAAGGUCAGCCGAACUAAGAUGGGCUCGCGUUCUAUCAGCUAGUUGGUAGGGUAAUGGCCUACCAAGGCUACGACGGAUAGCUGGUCUGAGAGGACGAUCAGCCACACUGGGACUGAGACACGGCCCAGACUCCUACGGGAGGCUGCAGCAGGGAAUAUUGCGCAAUGAGCGAAAGCUUGACGCAGCGACACCGCGUGUGGGAUGACGGAUCUAGGUUUGUAAACCACUUUCAGGAGGGAAGAAAAUGACGGUACCUCCACAAGAAGCCCCGGCCAACUACGUGCCAGCAGCCGCGGUAAUACGUAGGGGGCGAGCGUUGUCCGGAUUUAUGGGGCGUAAAGAGCUCGUAGGCGGNUCAACAAGUCGGUCGUGAAAGUUCAGGGCUCAACCCUGAAAUGUCGAUCGAUACUG
This 618-nucleotide ribosomal RNA is filed under the name uncultured marine bacterium. Its description in RNAcentral is "bacterial SSU rRNA". It matches the Rfam family "Bacterial small subunit ribosomal RNA", at positions 8 to 635 of the family's 1533-position model. The record is from RNAcentral.